UGAGAUGGAGUCUUGCUCUGUCACCCAGGCUGGAGAGUGCAGUGGCAUGAUCUCAGCUCACUGCAACCUCUGCCUUCCAGGUUCAAGCGAUUCUCGUGCGUCAGUCUCCCAAGUAGCUGGGACUACAGGCACGCACCACUAUACCCGGCUAAUUUUUGUAUUUUUAGUAGAGACGGGGUUUCACCAUAUUGGCCAGGCUGGUCUUGAACUCCUGACCUCAUGAUCCGCCUGCCUUGGACUCCCAAAGUGCUGGGAUUAUAGGCGUGAGCCACCAAGCCCUGCUGAAUUCUAUAUUUUUACUUUAAAUGAACUGUAUACUCAAUCCAGAUGAUAUUACUCCUUAGCCUAACAACUUUAAUGAUCCUCUAUUGUCACUGAAUUAAAUACUAACCCUUAGCCUGUUUUUAAGGACCCUCUUAACAUGAUGCUGGCAUAGCCUCCCACCUUUAUCUCCUAAUACCAUCUGACAUAUAUGAGCCACAUAUGGCAGCCUUUCCCACAGACUGUGUUACACUUGAAGGCAGACAUCUGUGCCUCAAAAUCCUUGUAUCACCUAUACUUCACACUUAGAACACAGUAGUUACUCACUAAAGUUUUGUUGUGUGCAUGGAAAAUUAUGUACUAGUUCAUAUGACUGUCUGAUAAUUCCCAGUCCUUGUGUUUGCUCGUGGGGUGCUUCUGACGUGGAGGGACCUCAUCUUUUUGUAUGCAAAAGUGGAUGAUGUAGGCAAAAGUGUCAUUUAAAAUUGUGAAUUUAUAUCUGUAUCUAUAGCUAUAUUACCAGUUUAUUAAAAGUCUGCUCAACCUUCCAGGCUUAUUUUCAAUGCCACUUCUUCCAUGAAACCACUUCUUAUCCCUUUGAGUUAAGAGCCAUUCCAUUUUGGGAACUUCAAAGUGCCUCUCUUUCUUACUUUAAAAAAAAAAUUAUUUUAAGUACUAUAGAGCAAGAAAAUUUCAUGUGGUCCCUAACCUUAUAUCUGUGUUGUAUUUGAUCAUGAGGUUUACUUCUGUUAGACCUUUGAUUCUUAAGAGUAAUUUGAAGACUUGCCAUCCCCUCUGGUUCCUCACAAUCUGUUUCUGAUCCCUAGUUCCCUGCAGUAUUUCCCAGCAAUCGGCCACUUCAUUUAGCAUUUUGUGAACUGGGGUUGCGUCUUGCUCAGAUUUAGGUCCCUGAAGCACUUAACAUGAUGGCUUACCCAUAGAAGUUUCUCAAUAUUUGCGGAUCUGAAUUAAGUGAAAUGAUAUAUAUGGCUACCAAUAUCUUCCAUUCUAAGUGAAAAAUGAGUCAAAGAUUCAGACCUAUGUUUAUUUUGUUUUCAAUAGCCAGAGAAAAAGUGACAAUGAUCUUCUCAUGGAAUUGGCAAAAGGAGCAAUGUAACCAUGUGUACCACAAAGAGUAGCUGUCUCUGCCAUUUGGUUUGGAGAAUAAAUGAAAUGAAGCCAUUAUGAGGGCGGAAACAUAAAUAUUAUGCAAACACAGGCAUGUUUCGGUGGAGUUAAUCUCUGUGCAAUCCUUUCCUUCCAAGCCCAGCAGCUCUGCUGGAUUCUAGUUACCAACCAAGCCCUGGGCAGGCCCUUCAAAUGCAUCAUGGCCUUGUUUCUAUCCCCAGGCUGGUAAGUCAGUUACUUAAAAUUACAUGUUGUUUUCAGGAACCUGUAUUUGUGAUUUGAAGUUGGUCACUCCUUAAUUGGCUAACAGGUAUAAUUCUAGAAUUUUCCUAAUUAUUCCCAUGAAUAUAAAAUGUUUUGAACCUUGUAGGAUUUUUUUUUUCCUCUGGGACGUGAUUUACUCCUGGCUGCUCUUUUUCAAAAAAUAAACUGGAUGAUGGCCAAAAUCAUAGGAUGAAAAAAUAGCCCUGAUGAAAGUGUUCUGGACAACUCUUCCAAAGCAGCCACUGGAUUAUGGGAAAAACGUUUACAGGGAGAAACCACAGAGCAUGGUAAGCAGCUUCAGAUUUGGUCAUCAAUAAGUCUAUUGUUCUUAUCUGGGAACCUUUUUGUUCGUGGAAGUCCUUCAAAAGGGCCACACCCCUUCAGUUCUGUAGAGGUUCCCAGACAGUGACUUGGGGUGGAAAAUAGAAGGAGGACUUUUUGUUUCUGACGGGGAGCUUAGCCAGGCCUUACUAGGGACUGAUCUUACUUAUAGCAGUGAGGCAGGCACAUGGUCGAUGUGCAUAUGAGCUGCAGCUCAGAGGUCACUCCCAGGCUGGGUCAGGUGUCAUCUGAGUUAGGAGAUCCAAGUGUGAGGACCAGCAGCUCUAAGUGGGAAGCAAGUUAUUUUAUUUCAUCCCCAGGAUAUUUAUUUGUAAUAUGAGUACAAUAAUUCCUGGGUCUAGCCUCUUUCACAAAGUUGUUACAUUGAUCAAAUCAGAAGUGAGAGAAAUAAAAAAAAGGUAACAUUGUUAUCACAGCAUUUUGAGAUGCUGAGAAUGUUAUAGAAAUAUAGCAUGCUCUUAUACUUUUAUUUCAUUUUGAAAGAGGCAAUACCCUUUUAUCUUUAUUAAGUGCCCUCAGAGAUUAAUGAGAGAUGUUUAAAUGAGUGUGAAUAUGUGAAUUCACAGCCUUUCUCCACUGCAGAAUGGUGAAACGAUUCCAAGAUGUUCUUCCUGGGUUUGAAGUCUUUGCCUGAACACAAUUAUGCAAUGAUUUGAAAGUCAGUUCCAAGAUCUCUUGAACUGCUUAUGAGACAUUUUGUUUAUUAAAUAAUUUUCUGAAAUUGACUAGGUUUUAGUGACUCAUGGAUUCAUGCAAACAUAUGCAUGACAUUUAGAAUUAUAGAACUAGAGGGGAAGAGAUCAGCUAAUGCACCCUGUGUUUUACAGUAAAGGAAAUGGUGCCAAGGAGUCUAAAUGACUUGCCCAGAGCUAUAUGAAGGUGUCCAUGAGAAAACUGGGGCUAGAACCCAGACCUCCAAUUCCUGGCUCGGAGUUCUUUCUUUUGAACAGAUUUUCCGUGAAUAUUCUGAUUACAUAUGCUAUUUCCAUGGUCAAUGCUAAGCCCUUGGAAAAAAACAAAAAUGACAUUUUGCCCCCCAGUGAUCUCAAGGAUAUAUUUGGCAUUAAACUCGGGACAAAAGAAGACACAAACUUUAUCUUGUGGUUUGGGUCCUCCAAUCCUCAUAAAAGUGUGGUUUCACCUGUUACCUCAUAAAGGUGCCAUUGCUGUAUGCACAUCUGAAUCUGUUUACAAUUUGAGAAUAGAGAUUAUUGCCUGCUCCUCCAAGCCCUUCACUGUAGAAUGGAAGCCUGUGAUUUUCCUGGCAUCAUGCAUGACUGAGAAGGUCAGUGUGGCUAAUUCUGAGCUUCAACAUCAGGAAGCCCUUAGUUCUUCACACUGAGCCACCUCCUGCAGCACAGUCAUCCUUGGUAAUAAAGCUGAUAUUUUAAUCAAUAUCUGUCUUACUCUUUCAUCUUGUCCCUCAUUUGGUUUAGAAUUCAGGUGGGGAAAACAAUUGUUUACUUUAUCGGACUCCUAACCAUGUGCUUGGCAGACACAGGUGAAUAAAUACAGUCUCUAUUCUCAGGAAAUUCAUAGAGCAAUGGUGGGAGGUGGGUAGAUGGAAAUGGAAGCAAAAAAAA
Molecule: long non-coding RNA, 3578 nt
Organism: Gorilla gorilla gorilla (western lowland gorilla)
Lineage: Eukaryota; Metazoa; Chordata; Mammalia; Primates; Hominidae
Exons: 3
Source: RefSeq, a predicted model, not a curated record